UGGGGAAUAUUGGACAAUGGGCGAAAGCCUGAUCCAGCCAUGCCGCGUGUGUGAAGAAGGUCUUCGGAUUGUAAAGCACUUUAAGUUGGGAGGAAGGGCAGUAAGCGAAUACCUUGCUGUUUUGACGUUACCGACAGAAUAAGCACCGGCUAACCCUGUGCCAGCAGCCGCGGUAAUACAGAGGGUGCAAGCGUUAAUCGGAAUUACUGGGCGUAAAGCGCGCGUAGGUGGUUCGUUAAGUUGAAUGUGAAAGCCCCGGGCUCAACCUGGGGAGUGCAUAGAAAAAAGGCAAGCUAGGGUAGGGCAGAGGGGGGAGGAAUUUCGUGUGUAGAGGUGAAAUGCGUAGAUAUAGGAAGGAACACCAGUGGCGAAGGCGACAACCUGGGCUCAUACUGACACUGAGGUGCGAAAGCGUGGGGAGCAAACAGG
Molecule: ribosomal RNA, 429 nt
Filed under: Pseudomonadota bacterium
Lineage: Bacteria; Pseudomonadati; Pseudomonadota
Description: Proteobacteria bacterium partial 16S ribosomal RNA
Rfam family: Bacterial small subunit ribosomal RNA
Source: RNAcentral